This 4660-nucleotide long non-coding RNA is filed under the name Struthio camelus australis. RNAcentral describes it as "lncRNA (ENSSCUG00000002381.1)". The record is from RNAcentral. Lineage: Eukaryota; Metazoa; Chordata; Aves; Struthioniformes; Struthionidae.
AAGGUCAGACCGAAUAAAAGCCAUACGCAUUUAAAAUGAGACUCAGGUGCCAGAUUUAGAGUCCUGCCCAGGGAGGAGGCAGCAGAAGAGGCACUCCAACCGUGGUGAGAUCUCAGAGAAAUUCAGCACACACAAGGAGCGGCUCUCUGGAGUAGCUAAGCCAGCACCUCCUGCCUUCCUUCAGGAGCGAGAAACCCUCACCGCGGGCAGCGUGGAAAAUCCUUGGCUGGUCAUUCUUGCAAUCAACAGAGUACUCCACCUCCUAACUUCCAACCUUGGCUUAAAGAGAGUGCGAACUUCUCAUGGGGCACAUUAAAAUCUUUCCUCUCAUAUGCCUUUCAGGCUAUGUUUGUACGUAUAGAUGCAGAGCUCACCUUUGUUUGGCAUGAGUGCAAGCUGAGGGAAAGCAGCAGGAGAAUUCACUGGUAUAAAUUCAGUGCGGAGGUUCAUCCUCACCUGGGAGGCACGGCCAAGCACAGGUCGGCCCCAGCUCUUCCCCUGCCGCACUUCUGUGAGGAUGAAACACUCAAGCUGCGAACGCGCGACCACUGGAUAGACCUGGGACUCUGCGAGGGCUACAGGGAGAUGCCAGCUGGAAAGACAUCCUUGAAGCUCCUGAUGUCUCUCAGCAUGAGGUUUAGAAGCGUCAGGGCCCGUUAACUUCGGGAAAGGACACAGAGGUGCCUCAAUCGCUCUCUGUUGUGUCUUAAAAAUCCAUCUGUAAUUAGAACAAAAAAGAAACUUUGCUGAUUGACCUUCAGUGUGCCCAAGCAGGUCAAUUAUAGGGAAGCAGACGGGACCGGAUACAUUCUAGUAAUUCUCAGGUCAGCGCUACUCCAUUCCAACUGGCCUACAAGGCUGCUGAGAAAAUGUACCUUCCCACUAUUCAAUGAACGAGCAAAUUGUGCCUAUCUGCAGCUGCAUUUAAGAUCAUCGCUGCUAAAUGAUACAGUAUGUAGCACUCUUCCUUUUAACUUGCAGCCAUUUGUUUUGCUGCGAGACGGGUGGCAGAUUUAUGCCUCGCCAGUUCAGCGGCUCUGCAAGGUGUUUGGCUGGUUUUGUGCUGAAUGCUAAGUGAGCUCGAGAGUUUGAAAUAUGAAAAGUAUUUGGAUAAGGCAGAUAGGCCACCUUGAAGACAUAAUCCACGGGAAUAAUGACAGGGCCUAGCAAAGCCAAAGCAAGCAUUUAAAUUAAUAGCAAGAGAUCUAUUAAAGGGAUUAGCCACAUGUCGUAACACUUACAAUGCUUUAUCUCACUGUGGUUAUGGCAGGGACUAUAUAUAUUUCCCCAAAACAAAUGGCUAGGGGAUGAUUUAUAGAUUAGAGGGGGUGGAGAGAAAUUUUACAGACUUGAAUUUCCAAAUCUCCAAGCUUUGGCUGAGGGAUAGUUGCCUGGCCUCUCUGGGGACAUCUCCAUUACUGUUUUAGCUGGAACCGAGAUGUGCUUGUGAAGGGAUUCCUCGUGCUGUCCUCAUCAGCUGUGUUUUGGUUCAUGCCAUGAAGCCAUCCCAGAUGGCGUGAAUGGGCUUUUGUCUGGAAGAACCUAGCUGUGCUCCAGGAGCAACCCAGCGUGCCCCAGCCAUGUUUGGAGCAUGGAACAGGGCUGAGGCUGCUCCAAAGGGAACCCCCAAACUCACACAACAUAGACAUUGGGGCCUCAGCAUUCUCAGUUCCCGUUACACUGCAAAACUUUUUAACGUAGACAUAGGCAAGGAGACAAGUUUUGCCUUCAUUUUCGGAGGGGAGCUAUAAUUUUGAGGACCCUCCAUUUCUAAGGAAAAACCUUUGGGAGAGGUCAGAGGGGCUUGCUGGUUUCUGAGAGUGUAGCACAUCUGGGCAGUGCAGAAUCCUGUCUCUAAGGUUUAUCUGUUUGGGCAGUUGAAACACCAUGACUUAUUUUUGAAAAAAUAAGGCCCUCACAUUUUUUUGGUACUAAAUUAGCAGCUGGAGUGUAUAUAUGUGCAUAUAUAUCCAUAUCUACGAAUAUUAAAAUGGCAGAUUUGAGCUGUCAGAGGUUUGAGCGUUGGAUUUUGCACCUUCACCUCUUUUGAUGUAGUUGUGUCCACGGCGUCUCUAAGAUUAAAAAAAAAAAGAAAGAAAGCAGAAGAUGAUGGAAAAACAGUCAACAAGACCACAACGCUGGGACGGAGCAUGCUCUUGGAUCACCAGGUCUGCAAUACUUAAGUCAAUUCCUCCCCAAACCUGCCUCAGUGUGAAAACAGCAAGGCUGUCCUGGACUGCAGUGAGAGCAAAAGUCAUCCUGUAAUUCUUAAAGUGUCAUUAGCGCAUAGCAAAUUUUGAGGUGUUCACAGACUCCUGAACCUCCUGAUUCAUGGUGCAGUUUGAGCAGAUCCUUUCGUCAUUCCGGAUGCUUGUUAGUUAGUUUGAGGGGAAUGGAAAGAAUGGGUGAAUCAUAUUCAGUUGUUUCUUUUACAAUGGCCCUAGAAGAGGCCUCAUAAAAUAUGAAUUACACUGAAUGUGCUUGCUUCUAAAUUCAGAACAUGUGUCCAAGUGAAUUUGUAGCUCAGGAAAUGAAGGACAAGCUACCUUGGUCAGGCAGAGUUGCAGUGAAAGAACUGCCACCUCAAUGGCCGUUGGUGCACGUCGGCUCCUCCAGCCUGCCCUGUUUUUUUUACUGUCAGCUCCCUAAAUAUAACCCCGACAAGGCACCUCAGUCUUGACCUAUGACUCUCCUGUCCAGUCCAGCCUCGCAGUCUCACCACGUCCUGUUUGGGCCCUGGUCCUUAGUAUCUGCAAUAUUGCUAUUAGAUGUGCACAAGGGAAUGGGCCGAUGCCUUGUCCCUGGCAGUGCCAAGGGGUGUUUGCUGGGAUUUGGUACCUCGACUCACUCUAUAAAACUAAACUGACGCUUAUGCUGCAUGAGGAAAGAUUUUCCUGCCCUGCAAAAAUGCUUGCAAGUUCAGCAGACACCCUCUGCCGACUUCGCUGGGAUGGAAAGAGGAAUUCUCUAACAGCCUUUGCAAUACAAAAGCCGGAGAGAACAAAUUGCUUUUGAUCUGUGAAAAUAAUUCCCUUGGCAAUUUGGGGAGGUUUUGUUUCCAUCCCUGCCGUGUUAACUUUAUGUUUGUAAUAAUUAAUUUCAUGAUAAUCAGCUCAACAUUGUGAAACGCAGAAUCGUUUCAAACCACAAAUUUCUUUUAUAUUGCAAAUGUCAAUGCUGAAACUCUAACAAAGGCGGAAAUGUCCUGGAGGCAGACAGAAAGGAGAGGGGGCUUGCAUAUAGCCUUUUUUUUGCACAAAAGUUUCCGUUAUGACAAAUAUAUAUUUUCUGUAAGUCCCAGCUUCCUUCCUGUACUGAAGACUUAAUUAGCCUCCAGGUCAAUGUUUUUCUCCUCCUCCUUUAAUUUCCUUGGUUUUUAAGGCACGAUAUAAACUCCCUGGAAUCUUUUCCAGGGCUGCAGCAAUGGUCACUAGCCGAGAUCAUUUCUCUUCAGUAAGUGAAUAGCGUACCAGGGAGGGAAAUGUGCUAUCAGAGCAAUAGGGAACAUUUGCAAUAAUAAGUUGUGUGCUGUCAUAAAUUACCUGUCACGGUGUGCGAGAGAAAGAUGGGAGCAGGGUAUUUAAUUAGACGAACAUCAAGAAGUUGCAGAACAGAAUCCCCCCUCCUUCACGGGAAAACUGUACAGUUCAGGGCUGCUGUUAGUAAUUUAUAAGCUGGUACUGUCCAAGUAGAUUUGAUCCACUGAUGCUAGGGGAACUAUGUGAACUUCUUCUAAUUCUUGUACAAAAUCUGAUCCAUUUGGUUUUCCGGAGUUUAUAUCGGGACAGAGAAUUGGCUUGGGACUCCCGAGUCCUUCCUUUCCCAGCUCUGUUCCUGACACCCUCGUGUUUUCUUCUUUCUGCAGCACCGUUUCCCCACUGCUGGAAGGAGGUGGGAUACAGCACCUGACGGCCAGAGUGGGUGAGUGGUGAGGAUUGGAGCUGGGUUUUGUUCUCCCUGAGCUUGAAGACCUCGGGGCCUCGCAGUGUUCGGUUUUGCUGCUUGCCUCCGCAGCGGGCUCUCUGCAACCAGCUCCCAGUGCUCUCCAGAACAAGCAGUUGUCAUUGCUCUGCUGUGAACAAUGCGGUGUGCUGAGACACGGAGACCAGCAGCAGGGCCAAGUCCCCCGCCGCCUUCGGGUGCACGGCACUCCGCUGCGUUCACGCGCUCAGGGCACGUUUGCACCUCCGCGGCAGAGUCGUCACGUGGGUGCGUUCACCUCUAGCCUUGCACAAACUGUUCAUGUGUGAUGAGAUAACGCAGCUGUGGGUCUCACGCACAGGGAUUUCUUUUUGGCUGGAGGGUCUCUUCUGCACCCUCCCCUGCUCUGGCUGCUCUCGGCUCACUGGCGCCUGUGAUGAUUAGCCUGGUGUUUAAUUGGUGAGAGUGCCUUGGUAGUUGCUAGCUUUCAGCCUCUGCUUCUCUCAGCUACAAUCACCAAAAACAAGGAGCAUUGCAAGUAAUUUUAUGGGUAAUGAAAAGGGUCAAACACAUUUGCUCUUUGAUGAGAGAAGCUGUAGUAAAUCCUAACUGGGAGCUAGAUGGAUCGGGGUUUCUGAGCUUAGACAGAGAGAGAAAAAAUUAGGCUAGAUGAGCUGAUAGGUUGGUCUAGGAGGAUAGAUAGAUGGAUAGAUUAAAUAAAGAUCUGCUUAACCAUCCA